UUAGAAAAUAAUGCUGCUUUAGAAUGAUAUAUAUAAUUGAAGUUAGAAGUCUGCACAUACCUUACUAUUACAUAUAGAAUGAGCAAAUAUUAUUUACAAAUAUGUGGCGGCACUGGACCACGGAGAUUUCCAAUGCCUUUGCGACACAAAGCGCUAUAACUUCAAAGCAUAAGCCAACAUGCUUAAUGUACCAACGAUAUUCCUACGGUUCUUUCGCCGAAUAUUCGGAAGAUUGCAUACGCGGCAACGUCGCGGACAUCUAAUAAACGCAUGCGUAGUGGCGAUAUCGAGGGGCAACCAAGAAAAGAAUCCGAUUGGUUCCGAACCAAAGAUUCAUUCUGCCCCGAGCUGCAAAGUGCGAAAGGUUUAGCGUCAUAGGAAAACAAACAAUUAGAGGUACGUGAUUAUUAACUCUUGAUAAUUAAUCGUUAAUCGUUGAUCGUAAAUUGUUGACUGUUGAUUGUUAAUAGUGUAAUAAACUUUUUUGUUGAACAUCAAGAGUAUUUCUUGUGGGCACCCUCACGAACAAACACCUCAAAUAUCUUGUACACGUUUCAACGAUAUAUUCUGCACGUUUUGCUUACGACGAAGUAACGAAUGCGAAUGGUUUGUUGAAAUAAACGAAGCCUUGUUACAAUAUGUCGCUAUCGACUGUUACCAAAGCGCCACAGAGGUCACCCGUGACCACCACGAAGAUGAACGGUCCAUUGGGGAAGAAUGUUGUCUUACAUCAUUAAUUUAUUAUUAUUCUGCCAUUAUAUGCUUUGAAUAAUAAGAAUACUCCCGUGGCGUCCUGAGCGAAACAUGUGAUUUCGGCGUGGCAGUCAAAGUGUUAACUAUUUAUUUUUAAAAAAUGUAAUCCGGUCUCUUUUUUAUUUCGUUCGGCAUCGUGAACAAAAUGUAGUUUCCGAAGACUAAGGACGUUUGAAAAGAUUUUACAGUCGACGUGGCGUUGCAAGCAGUUGAGGUGUUAACUCUUAUUACAAAAAGGUAACAUUGUAAUCAUUUUGUUCGCGAGACUAAAGAUUUUAUCGCAGCGCGACCCUUCGCGUUUUUAGAUGUUGUAUAGUUUCGCCCUUGGUGCAAGCUUAUCGCAUCGUAGAAACUAGUUUCAGAGGAACAGCCGGUGACCUGGAAACAAAUUCCAGUCAGCAGAAUUUUCAUUACUUUCCAGGGAUACGAUGUUCACGAGCCAACGAGCCUGUCCUGGAAUAAUGGAAUCGCUAGUAUUAAAUUCGCCACGAUACACCGGCCAAAUUACGUCCACCGUGUCUUAUCUUGCAAACGAUCGAGCUAUACUUGCUAUAGUUUCAAGAUAAACUGAGAAACUAAAUCCGCUUUCGAUAAUUAAUUCGACCCUAGGAUUAAUCCACGUCACCAGAAAUACAUCGCUAUAAUCGUGCUAUUAUCAUCUUUCGUCGGUUCUUCCUUUCAAUCUUCCCAUAAUCUUGAUGAUCGUGGCAAGAGAUGACGAAAUAAAAACACCCAUAAUUCCUUUCCUUAUCUUGUCUUGUGUCUUAUCUUUCAAAAACGAACAAACACGCGCGAUCUAUCCUAUCGUUUAACAUCAUGUUUUAUUGAUUCUGAUCCAUUUUCUUCCAAUAGAACAUGCAUCGUAUUAUCUUAUUAAAUUAUGACCCAUUUUGUUCCCAUAGAACACGCAUCAUAUUAUUUUAUUAAAUUAUAGAACACGCAUCAUAUUAUUUUAUUAAAUUAUAGAACACGCAUCAUAUUAUUUUAUUAAAUUAUGAUCCAUUUUGUUUCCAUAGAACACGCAUCAUAUUAUCUUAUCUAAUUAUGAUCCAUUUUGUUCCCAUAUAACAUGCAUCAUAUUAUUUUAUUAAAUUAUGAUCCCUCAUGUUCCAACAGAACAUGCAUCAUAUUACUUUAUCGAAUUAUGUAUGAUCCAUUUUGUUCCCAUAGAACACGCAUCAUGUUAUUUUAUUAAAUUAUGAUCCAUUUCGUUCGCAUAAAACGUGCAUCAUAUUAACUUAUUAAAUUAUGAUCCAUUUUGUUCUCAUAGAACACGCAUCAUAUUAUUUUAACGCAUUAUGUAUGAUCCACUUGUUUCUCAUAGAACAUGCAUCGUACUAUCUUAUUAAAUUAUGAUCCAUUUUGUUCGCAUAGAAUAUGCAUCAUUAUUGUAUCGAAUUAUGUAUGAUCCAUUAUGUUCCAACAGAACAUGCAUCAUGCAUAAUUCGAUAAGAUAAUAUAAAACAAAAAAUGGCAUGCAUCUGUAAUUUCCUUAUGAACCGAAAGAAACUCUUGCGAAGAAAUGUGUGAGACAGUGUGCUCAAAGUAGCGGAAUAUCGCUAAGUUAUGAUAUAUGAAAAUGCAAUAUACGAACCAAUAUAUCAAAUAACGUUCUUCAUAAGAGUUACCAAGAAGAAAUAUAUAGCCUAACCGGUACCAAUGUAACUCGAGCUCGAUGAAGUUGCCACGCCGAAAUGCGAAUUUGUAGAAGAAACAAACAGAACAGUAUUGCUUGACCCGCGAUUCGUCCACGUUUGUUCAAACAAAAUUUUCAUUUGUCUAUCGUUCAAAGGCAAGUUAUCAAAGGAGAAUUAAACAAAAUUUCCUAUCGGCUUCUAUUAUCUUCCCAUUAACUUUUCCAUUAAUUCUUAAGUGGAAUAUGAUUGUUCACGAUUUGUACACGUUCGUUCACCCAGAAUUUUCGUUUGUCUACGCUUCAAAAAAAAAUAAAAGGAAGAAGUUAUCAACCUUUUAAAAUUUUCAUUUAGUCAUAACGUUGUUUUGAAGGAUGGACGAACGAGAAAAUUUAUCCAUCCGGUUGAACGAACUUGAACGAACGAAUACAGUUUUUUUUUUUACAAAAAUUCGCAUUUGGAGAAGCUAAUUUCACCCGGCUUGCCACUGGGACUUCCUUAUCACCAGGAAACAGUAUUCAAUUACGCUGAUAGUAUCGGCAAAUACGAACCAUCUAUCCACUACGCAUAAAACGAAGAAAGCCAUAUCAAAUUUUGCAAGCUUUCUCGCCUAAUAACUUUUGAACUGGAAGAUUGCUAAAGUUCAACUGUAUUCUACAAAUAUACUACUCUCAGUAAAUACAAGAUUCGAUCAAAAUAAUUGCCGUCCCAGAGACAAGAUUCACGUAGAAACGUAAUUAAGUAUUUUCAUUAAUUAUCAUUUUAAUUAUUAUCGUUCAAAUCGUAAUAAUUUACUAUAUAUUGAAUAUCUAGGUACGUAUCGUAAAUAGGCAAUUCUAGCGUUAAAUCUGCCAUUUAAUUCGUGGCGGGCAGAUGAGCUCGUUAUUUUCAGGAAUGAGUGCCUUCCAACAAGGCGGAUGUUCCUGCACACGCGGAAUCCACGUGCAAUUUACACGUGAAGAUUUGCAGGCGCGUACAUUUAGAACAAAGAAUGAUGUCAUCAUUCGCGCGUCCAGAGACAAAGCCGUGCAUACCAUUGUCAACGUCGUAAAUACACCAUGAAAUCGUGGAAAGAGCAGCACUUUCGUCAGAGUCGUUUACUCGUCGCUAUACAGACGCUUUCAUCAUGCCAUUUGAUCGAUAAAAUAGAAGAUCUGUCACGAUAUCCGGAAAAAUCAGUCUUCGAAGACUCAACGUUGUGCAGUUUGCAUAAAAGUCAAUCUUAACGAUUUACCGACCGCUAGCGAUUCAACAGCAUACGCACGUCCCUCCCUGAUUCUCCGUGGCGCCGGCUCUGUUUCGGUUUAGACUCUCCAAUAUCAUUCUUUUCGUUCGUCGUGAACGGUAAGUUUCUCAAAUUGGCAUAAAACUGUGGGACUUUACAAAGCAAGGCAACUGACGCAACUGAGCAAGGUACCUUAGUACUAAAUAACAAAUUACUGCUUAAAUAAUGAGAAAGAUUAUCGGUGACAAAAAGCCGAUUAAUAGGCUAUCGGUCGGUAAAGUGUUAAGUUGAUUAGAACAGACGCUACGCUUUGACGUUAGCUACAAAGCCGGGAAGCGAUGUUAUUGGUAAUUUUACGAAAACGUUUCUUCAGAAAGCUGUCUUAUGCUGACGCUAAUACUUGACCUGUUAUCAUUCUAUUAGGUGGUCCGAAAAGUUUCUUUCGUUUUAUAAGGAAAUAGUGGAUGCGCAACAUUUUCCGCUUUAUAUUAUUUUAUCCAAGAUAAAGAUUACAACGUUCGACAGGUUAGGUUUCAUGUUUGUAUAAAGGUGCGUUGUUGUAAAAGACGGGUCUGUAAAAGAAGGACACUUUUCGGACAACCUAAUACUAUUAUCGCUAAUUGAUAAAAUAAUUUUGCCGCUGUUACCCCGAACAUCAGUCUCGGGAGAUUCGAUGUUUCUAAAUUCCCGUAAAUGCCAUUUGCCAAAUUUUCUCGUAGAUAUCGUUCGUGAAAUUCGCAGAAACGUGAAAUUUUACAAAAAACUUUUUUCCUAUACCGAUGCUACUUGAUCCAUUACUAUUCCACCAUUGCUGUUAAUCGAUAAAAUGGAAUAUAUGUGCCAUCGCAAAAUACAGUCUCGAAAGGCUUUUAACACUGCCAAAGCUGCAUAAAUUUAUCCGCCGAGAAACUUCAAUAUCCCGUGAAAUUUCAAAGUUUCGGUCGAUGUAUAAAGCGAAAAGCAGAGAAUCCUAGAAUAGUCGCCAUCUGUUUAUGAACAUUUUGCAUCAACGUUGCUAGCGAACAGGCGACUUAAUAGCAGGUAGAUACAUUUCAGGAAAAGUCUGGAGAACAGUUGCAAGUGUAUACCUGUGUAUGCAUUAUCAGUAGCCGCGUAGAUGGCGCGACUCGCCCUUGAAAAAUAGUCUCGACGAGACACGAGGCGAGAAGAGGUUACACUUUCUCCGAAUCGUGGACCGGCGUUCGAGCACGUUCUGGCUCGGCGCCAACUUCACUCGAAAAGUGGAGGAGACACACCGCGCUUGCGAUGGGCUCAAGCACGCGUUGAACUUGAUCCCAUCGCUACACGUUCAACGAAGCUGGGGAGCAACUGUGGCGAAUUUUCUUGGCGAAUGCAUCGGCCUUGGGACGAGGGUUCGUGUGCACCGAGCGGAUAAAUUCGCGCGUUAACUCCACGAGCUUCUGUAUCGUGAGCAUGCGACCGCGAUCUUCAGCUACUCAACUUGAUUGCCUUCUGCCGCAUAGAAAAGGAUAAUAGAUUUUUCCAUCGAGCUUCGUCGAUGCUUCUUCCCAGAUUAUCCGACAUUGGAAUACAUAUACAUACGCUCUUCUUUCUCCACGAUAAACUAAGCUGCUCCGUGUCGCCUUAGAUUACGAACAUAAUAGACCCGUUUGCUGACAAACGCAGCGCUCUCAGUACCUCGGAACAAUCAAACACACAGAGCAGAUUUUUAAUAUCAAAAGGUUAUAUGGUAGAUUCUAAACAUCGAAAUAACGGAGAAAUAAUCGCGUACAAAAGUAUCGAUCGAGGCUUAUUUUUCAAUUUACAUGGAAGAAAUUCGUUGAUCGAAAAUGUCGAUGAAUUUGAACGAGCAAAUGUUUAGGAAUAUCACAGUCAAAUUGUUCGUCGUGGAAUAUAAAAGAAAAGGAAUAAAAUUAUAUUUAACGCUAAAA
This is a long non-coding RNA of Bombus pyrosoma, 5525 nucleotides long. RefSeq lists it as uncharacterized. The transcript is spliced from 2 exons. Lineage: Eukaryota; Metazoa; Arthropoda; Insecta; Hymenoptera; Apidae. The record is from RefSeq and is a predicted model, not a curated record.